GCCAGGUGUGGUGGUGUGCACCUGUAGUCUCAGCUACUUGAGAGGCUGAGGCAGGGGGAUCUCCUGAGUCCAGGUGUUUGAGGCUGCAGUGAGCUAGGAUCACACCACUGUUCUCCAGCCUGGGCUACAAAGAGAGACUCUGUCUCUA
Molecule: unclassified non-coding RNA, 148 nt
Organism: Pongo abelii (Sumatran orangutan)
Lineage: Eukaryota; Metazoa; Chordata; Mammalia; Primates; Hominidae
Rfam family: Metazoan signal recognition particle RNA
About the family: The signal recognition particle (SRP) is a universally conserved ribonucleoprotein.
Source: Ensembl